AUGCUUGUCUCAAAGAUUAAGCCAUGCAUGUCUAAGUAUAAGCAACUAUACUGUGAAACUGCGAAUGGCUCAUUAAAUCAGUUAUCGUUUAUUUGAUAGUACCUUUACCUGGAUAACCGUGGUAAUUCUAGAGCUAAUACAUGCUAAAAACCUCGACUUCGGAAGGGGUGUAUUUAUUAGAUAAAAAACCAAUGCCCUUCGGGGCUCCUUGGUGAAUCAUAAUAACUUAACGAAUCGCAUGGCCUUGCGCCGGCGAUGGUUCAUUCAAAUUUCUGCCCUAUCAACUUUCGAUGGUAAGAUAGAGGCUUACCAUGGUCUUAACGGGUAACGGGGAAUUAGGGUUCUAUUCCGGAGAGGGAGCCUGAGAAACGGCUACCACAUCCAAGGAAGGCAGCAGGCGCGCAAAUUACCCAAUCCCGACACGGGGAGGUAGUGACAAUAAAUACUGAUACGGGGCUCUUUUGGGUCUCGUAAUUGGAAUGAGUACAAUCUAAAUCCCUUAACGAGGAACAAUUGGAGGGCAAGUCUGGUGCCAGCAGCCGCGGUAAUUCCAGCUCCAAUAGCGUAUAUUAAAGUUGUUGCCGUUAAAAAGCUCGUAGUUGAACCUUGGGCCUGGCUGACCUGUCCUCCUAAUCGAGCGCACGGGUUCGGUCGGGCCUUUCCUUCUAGGGAACCCCAUGCCCUUCAC
Molecule: ribosomal RNA, 688 nt
Filed under: Chaetothyriales sp.
Lineage: Eukaryota; Fungi; Ascomycota; Eurotiomycetes; Chaetothyriales
Description: SSU rRNA
Rfam family: Eukaryotic small subunit ribosomal RNA
Source: RNAcentral